Molecule: ribosomal RNA, 820 nt
Filed under: uncultured soil bacterium
Lineage: Bacteria
Description: bacterial SSU rRNA
Rfam family: Bacterial small subunit ribosomal RNA
Source: RNAcentral
AGUCGAACGAGAAAGCCCGCAAGGGUGAGUAAAGUGGCGUACGGGUGAGUAACACGUGGAUCAUCUACCCUCUUGUGGGGAAUACCGCUGGGAAACCGGUGACAAUACCGCAUAAGCUCGAGAGAGGAAAGCAGAAAUGCGCUGGAGGAGGAGUCCGCGGCUGAUUAGCUAGUUGGUGAGGUAAUGGCUCACCAAGGCUUAGAUCAGUAGCCGGCCUGAGAGGGCACACGGCCACACUGGCACUGAAACACGGGCCAGACUCCUACGGGAGGCAGCAGUGGGGAAUCUUGCACAAUGGGGGAAACCCUGAUGCAGCGACGCCGCGUGAGCGAUGAAGCCCUUCGGGGUGUAAAGCUCUUUCGGCAGGGAAGAUUAUGACGGUACCUGCAGAAGCAGCUGCGGCUAACUACGUGCCAGCAGCCGCGGUAAUACGUAGGCAGCAAGCGUUGUUCGGAGUUACUGGGCGUAAAGGGUGUGUAGGCGGUUGGAUAAGUGUGGUGUGAAAUCUCCCGGCUUAACUGGGAGGGUGCGCUACAAACUGUCUGACUAGAGUAUGGGAUGGGAGAGUGGAAUUCCUGGGUGUAGCGGUGAAAUGCGUAGAUAUCAGGAGGAACACCGGUGGUGUAGACGGCUCUCUGGACCAUUACUGACGCUGAGACACGAAAGCGUGGGUAGCAAACAGGAUUAGAUACCCUGGUAGUCCACGCCCUAAACGAUGCAUAUUUGGUGUGGGUCAUUCAUUUGAUCCGUGCCCGAGCUAACGCGUUAAAUAUGCCGCCUGGGGAGUACAGUCCCAAGGCUGAAACUCAAAGGAAUUGAC